RNAcentral lists this ribosomal RNA (327 nucleotides) under uncultured bacterium. RNAcentral describes it as "bacterial SSU rRNA". It matches the Rfam family "Bacterial small subunit ribosomal RNA", at positions 28 to 334 of the family's 1533-position model. The record is from RNAcentral.
GAUGAACGCUGGCGGCGUGCUUAACACAUGCAAGUCGAACGAAGAUUGUUAGAAUGAGAGCUUCGGCAGGAUUUUUAUCUAUCUUAGUGGCGGACGGGUGAGUAACGUGUGGGCAACCUGCCCUGUACUGUGGAAUAAUCAUUGGAAACGAUGACUAAUACCGCAUGUGGUCCUCGGAAGGCAUCUUCUGAGGAAGAAAGGAUUUAUUCGGUACAGGAUGGGCCCGCAUCUGAUUAGCUAGUUGGUGAGGUAACGGCCCACCAAGGCGACGAUCGGUAGCCGGACUGAGAGGUUGAACGGCCACAUUGGGACUGAGACACGGCCCAG